CGGCUGAGGGGAGCGCGCUCGGUGACAGGAAUGCGAGCGCGCGUGUGGGGCUGCGCGGCUCUGUCGUGACAGGAACGUCACAUAAACUGCCGCGGGGUGCGUGUGGGGCUGCCCGGCUCUGUCGUGACAGGAAUUUCACAUAAACGGCCAGUGAGGCUUGGGCUGCCGCCACCUCAGCAGUGAGGUGGACGCAGCCAAAGGGAAAUAUAUGUUCCCGUACCAGCAGCAGGUAGAAUUUGUCUACCACAGAAGCCAAGAGAUCGUGCAUACAAAGGAUAGUGUUGCUGCUGGGAGAUUUCUACAAAUGGAUUCCUGUUCCUGCACAGAACAGCUGCUCACUGCCUUGGUAGUGCAAAAGAGAUGUACUGUACCAUGAACAGCUCCUGAAGAGUUCCCCCAUGCAAUGCAUAGCCAUCAUUUCAUAUAUUUACUGAAUCACAGUUAUUCCUAUGGCUUUUCAAAAUUGAAAGGAUGAUAUCCUUAUGCUCUCCAUGUAGGUGAGUAGCAAUAAUGUGAGAUUGGAAAGCUUUCCACAGUCAUGGAGAUUACCUGAUUUUCAGCCAUUGUUUCAGACAAAUGGCACACGACUUAUUUAGACUUGACAUUUUCUGAUAUGACACGAGCUGAAGCACCUUUCUGUGUUUUUUGUUGAAGAUUGAAUCGAAACUCAUUAAAAGUUACUAGUAAAAUACCAAAGUAACACACUCUAAUUUUCAUUCUCCUAUACUGUCAAAGAAGCUCUUUUAUUAGUUACAUGAUAACUUCAAAUUUUAUGUUGAUAUUUUUUGUCUCCUAUAACAUAAGGCAAAAUCAGAGAUUGAAACCAGAUGAUCCUGUUUGGAUUACCAGUGAAAUUCUUCCAGUCUGAACCAUCAGAAAGCCAUGGUGGGCUUUGUUUUUAAAAAGGCACUAUUUCUGUGGUAGGAGUAAUGGAUGCAAUUGCACUGCAUUUGUCACCUUCCCCUACCUUUGUUAAGGUCUCAUCAGCUUCCUAACGUGGGAAGAAAAGAGAAGCUGUAGAACUGCUUUCAUUUUCUGCUACUGUGACUAACCAAAUCUGAAUACAUUUUGCUUUAGUGGAAUUUCUGUUGUGUUGAUCUUUCGUGUUCCUUAUUUCUGCCAUUCAAUACAAUCUAUAUAGGUAUUUCACAAAAAUGGUAUGUUGUGGAAGGGGCAAUUCAUUAAUCUCUCAGAACUCAAGUUUUCCAACAUAUCAGAUCUGUUUUUCUCUGUUUAUUAUGCAUGGAUCUCUUCUGUAUUUGUCAAUGGUGUUAUAUGCAAAUUCAAAUUAUCCUGGCCUACAAUACUUGUUUUAUUUAAAGGUUCCAGGUUUCUAAAAGAUUGCUUGACUCUUGGGUGGUUUUUGUGUGUUUUUUUUCAGCCCAGUUAGAAAAAGAAAACCUCUCCUGAGUCAUAUUUUAAAAAUACUGUUAGGCUCUAAAGCUGCUUCUGCUCCUGUGUCACAAAGCAUUAUUGAGAAGAUAUUCAUUUCUGCCUCCUACAAUUGCUCAGACAGAGAGCUUCACAGAUUCUUUUCCACUCAUGUUGCAACUAUGCUGGCAGCAUUCUUGUUCCUAGAAGUGUGUUACAACGAUCUUCCUGAUAUGAACAGACUCUGCAGACAGAAAGCAAAACCAUUACAGACAUUGUCCUACCUUGUUCUGACUGCAAAUUCAAGAAUCAUCACAUCCACAGCUGAAAUAGAAGCUGUAGGAAGGGAUCAGCAGAUCUGCUAACUCCUAUUUGCUGUACAAGAACUCAUGGAAAUCCUGCCCUGUCAGAACCUGUGGCUACUCAUCAUCCCUAAGAAAACACGGAAUCAUGGUUAGCUGUGAAGAGGUGAGGCAGUUGGACUCCAUGAUCAGUAAAGUUCCUUCCCAACCAAACCAUUCCACUCCAUUCUGUUCCAUUCUACUCUACUAUUUCAUGUUGUCUACAUGAGCCUUUUAAACUUUAGACUACUAUAACCUUCAUGUGUCUGUCCUCUCUCAGGCUGAAUAAAUGUCAAAUGGUGCGUUCUGUCCCACUUGUCACAAGUGCUAUUGUAUGUCCACCCUGGAUCCAUAUCAAAUUAGUGUUGAUGAGGGUUUCCAGUCUUUAUUGAAAUACAAUAUAAUGGAGGAUGUAUAGAAACUACAAGUACAAAAACAGGGCUCAAAUGCUCACUUUUGGAAGCAGCUACAUAAUUUUGGAAGAUCAUUCUCUUAUUUCAGAGAUAUUUAAGAUAGGUUUGACAUUUUUAUUAGUAAAGUUUUAUUAGGUUAUUUCAGUUUAUUCUUUGAGGUAUAAACUAGCCAUUGUGGCUUUCACUAGUUUAACUAUACACAUAUCUGAGAUAAAAUUUGUAACUGAUAUAGUUUUCAAAACUUCUGGAAAAACUGUACUGUACAUAGAAAUGCCACAGCCUUAGGUCAUCCCAGACCAAAAAGCAAAUAAUACAUAAAUGCGUGGAUAAGAAUUUCCCUUUUCUGAAGGUAUGAUGUUUCCCCUUUAACUCUGGACUUUACUGGCCUUCUACCUGCCACUGGGUCAGAAUGAUGAGCAUUUGUUGGCUUGCAAGGCAGUAUCAUUUCAGAAGAAAUUCCACUUGGAAUGGAGAAAGCAAACAUUCUGUGAGGUACGUAUUCAGUUACUUACAUGAGAACUGCUUGAAGAAAGAAGACAAGCACUUAAAAGAAAAUGGUUUUCAACAGACAGAAUUUUUCAACAAACCAUUCAGCUUUAACUCAACUCACACAGAAACAGCAAAUAAAUGAGGCCAAGAUACAUAUCAUACUGAGUCUGCAUUAGCUGGAAGGUUUGGAAAUAAUUAUGAGCAAAACUGUUAAUGCUCCAUUUAAAUAGCUGCUGCCUAUCUGUCCAGUAUGAAAGCCCAAUCUGUUGUGUUCAAUCAGCUUUCAGCUGCUACUUGCCAGCAGCCUAAUUCCCCAGUCUUGUCUCUGUGCUGUGCUUGUGCAUUCCACUACCUGCUAAGUUAAACCCUGCUGUCCUGGUUCAGCAUGGAGAUUUCUAGUACUAUGGAAACUAUCCACAAUGGUUCAGACCUGUAAACUGUGCUAAGUAUCCAUACAAACUGACUGAUUGCAGAGGAGCCCCACAUACGGGUGAAAAGAGAAAUCGGCAGCCACAUACAUGAACAGCACUGUGUUCAUCCCUACCAGUCAGUGUGCAUGUAUGCAGUUUUGACAAGCUGUUGAUCUGCAAUAGUUCCACAUUAGGUCCUCUUUUUUUUAAGUGAGCAAAUUGACAAUGCAGUGAGUUGUUCAUCAAAGCCACUAUUAACUAUUAGAUGCUAAUAUAUCUCAGUUUUCCUAAAUCUCUUUGUAUUUGACGAUCAAUAUACUGACUGAUUGUAUUUAUAUUGCAUAAGGAUUCAGUAAUCAACAACUAGACUCCUUAUAUGCUUAGUGUGUGCUAGCUUCUGUGCAAAUUGUGAAUCAGUUCUAAGGGAGUCUCUGCUUAGGUCUGGUAGUUACGAAGCUCUAUGGGUAGUGCUACAAAUAUAUUGUCAUGAAAUGUGCUUCAGGUUGAGAGGCCUCAAACCUGUAGCACUAGCUUUUUUCCUCAGAAAUAUGUAUUAAAAUGGCAAAGUUCAUUGCACAGUCAUUUGCAAGGAACUAAGGAGUAAUUUGUUGACCUUUGCAGAUUAGGUAACGCACACUGUCAUAAGGAAGUGAUAUUUGAGUAACAAACAGCAAAUGUACACAAUUAUCUUUCAUUGACCUCUCAAUGGAGGCAAUCAGGAUUUCCUGAUACUAACGUGUUCGGUGUUCUUGGCAUCUUUAAUAUAAAUUUGCUGUGGUCUGAGUGCACAUUAGUUCUCUAACCAUGUCAGAGGUUGCUUAGUACAUUGCCUGCCUUUAUUUUUUGAAAGAGUACAUUUGCUAGAAAGAGGGAAGAAGGAGAAGGAGUGGAUGUGGAUGUGAAUACUGAAGAUUCUGUGCUCUUCUCUCAGAUUUCACAGAUCCUGAAUCUCUGUGCUUCAGUUUUCACUGAAUUGAAUAAAACUGAAAUUUCUGCAUAAUACAUUGUGAAACUUACUUCCACUUACAGUGCUUUGACAUCAUGAACAGCAACAGAGCAACAAAGAGCAGUGUUCUGCAGCUGUUGGAGAAUAUAUUACAGAAAGAGGACAUGAGUGAAAAUGAAUCUUCUAAUCAGUAGUAUAAUUCAGAAUUUGAAUGCAGUAAAAGUUAAAUAUGGUGCUUUUGCUUCUAUAAUAACUUAAUAACUCAAAGGAUUCUUCAAAAAUUAUCCAGGAAAAAAAUAUGGGAAACUUUUUGAUUCCUUCUGGAGAACUAAAUAAUCUGUUCAAGUGCAAAUGAAUACGCCACAUUCUUAUGUAUGUGUUUUGCAAGAAGGUGAAUUAGUGGUUCUCCUUCUCCACUCUUUCUUCCAUUUUUCUAAUUCUACAUGAGGAUUCUUUUCAGAUUCACGUGUUGGUCUUUAUUUGGAUUGUUGUCCACACUCUUUCUAAAGAAAUGUUUUAAAACCGCUUCUUUUAUAUGGAAAUUCUUGGUACAGCAUUAUACAUUUUUUCUUUUUUAAAAUAAAUCAGAAAGAGAAAGCUUUUCCUGUUCAUCACUCUUAAUGCUUGAACUCAGAACUAACUGGCAGAUGAAGCAGAAUAAAUAAAGAAAUUGGAGCAAUCCAGACCCCGUGGACAAGAGAAUCACUUUACCUCAGGACACUGAGAUAAUUUAUCUGGGUGGCUUAGAAAAAGUGCUAGAUAAGAUUGAAGUAUGGAGAGGCUGAGCAAGUCCAGGCUUAUCAAGAAGCAAUUAAAUCCAGCAACUGGCAUCUGAAUAUAUUAAUAUUGUAGGUUCUGACAUGGAACCAGGAAAAGUGUAUUUGUAAGGCAGAAAAUAUAGCAGAGAUAAAUGCAGUUCUAUAUAUAAUAUAUACAUUUUAUGUAUCCGACAUCUUUGCCAAAAUAUGAAUAACUUGCAAGCAAGUUCCAACUGAAGUUGGAAAAUGCCAGAGUAAAGGCUGCCUUUCCAUGUAUAUGCCCCAAUGUAAUCUUUAAUUACGUGAUUCCGGGCUGCUUUUUCUAACCCAAGAUUUUCUAAUUUCAGCAAGUGUUUCAAGUGUUUUGUAGACUUAAUAUUUUCUCUCUUAAAUAAAGACUUCAGGGAUAUAUUUCCCCACGUUUUCAAAAAGGCAUUUGAAAGUCACAAUAUUCCAUCCCACUAACAUCCUCACGGGUCAUCAGCACACUGUAACCUUUAUCUGUCAUCGUAGAAGUCUUUGGGGCAGCUGUAACUGAAGGUGUGAUGGUGAAGUUUGUGCAAUGAUGCACAAACAGUCCUUUGAUGAGUGGCAGACAGGAGGAUUGUAAGGUAAAGGAGCACUUGAGCAGAGUUUUAAAUAAGCUAUUUACUACUAUUGCGCUCUCUCCUCUAUUUGUUAAUGGCCCCUGUUGUGCAACCAAUGUAUCUUGCUUAGAUAGGGGUCAUGUGAACUUCAUUGACCUGAUUCUGUGCUGUCUUGUACUAUAUGGAUGGUCAUUUCUACUCAAGCAAACUAAAUUUAAGAUGCUGAUUUCGAAUUUGCUAAUAUUUACAAACCACUUUGUUUAUGCAGCUGUGAUAUGUAGCAGAGAAUGCAUGCAAACAGCAUGCAAACCCAGGUGCAUCCAGAGAGGGUUAUACUUUAAAGUGAUUUUUUCACCACAGUUCUAAAUCAGAGUAGUCACAUGGACAGCACAGAAGUUGGACCAAGUCUGCUAAAUCAUCAUUCCUUACCUACUUCUUUCUGUUGUGAAUUGAAGAAUUUUAGUCAGAAGUGUUAAUGUGCAAAAUUUCAUAAAAAUUGUUUGUUUCCUAAAAUCUGUUUAUGAAGCAUUUUGUCUUUCUGCAUGCAACAGGAGUGCUUCCAAACUAAUAUUUACCCCUCUUGCACUGAAAAGGUUGGAAACCACAGGUCCUAAAUUGUUACAGAAGCAGAGCUUUCAGGAUUCAGGAGCCUGAUUUGGUAGAAGAUGCCCUGCCCAUGGAUAGUCAGACAAAGCACGAGAGAGUUAAGUACUUGCACUAUGUUAUUUUCUAGUUUAUUAAUUAAAGUCAGGAUUAUGCACCUGGAACUGAAACUGCAAACUGGAAAUUCUCUCUAAGACCUGGAAACAUCAAUGGGCUGGCUUCCAUAAAUAAUACUGGAAGUUAAACAGCGGUUUCACAGUGUCUAGAUUAUAGUAUAAAUAAGAAAGCAGAAAAAUCCAGGAAAUCCUUAGCUAACAAAUGUUUUGUUUUAAAAAUGAUAUGCUUUUCUUGAGCUCUGAGAACCAGCUUCUCAGUAGACAAUGACUCGCUCAGCGUGUUUGGAAACAGUGAAGCACAGUUCAUUCUCAGGCUUUUCAGGGUUAGCCCAAGAGCUCGCAGACCUGGCAAAAGGUAAGAAACCUAAGAAAUUCUCUGUUAACAAGAGACCAAGCUGGUAUCAAAAACUAUAAAAUGCUACAUGCUGAUACCAAAUAUUACAACAUUUGGCAGCUUUAGGAGAUUGGAUUAGUGUGGUAUUUUGAAUUGAAUAAUCCCAAAGGAUGUUCUUGGCAUGCUGGGCCAAAUUCAGCCAGGACGUAACCAUAUCAAUUUUAGUGUAUCCGCACCCACAAUGAUUUGGUCCUUGUUUUU
Non-coding RNA from Meleagris gallopavo (turkey), 6629 nucleotides. The record is from RefSeq and is a predicted model, not a curated record. Lineage: Eukaryota; Metazoa; Chordata; Aves; Galliformes; Phasianidae.